UUUUUUUUUUUUUUUUUUUUUUUUUUGUCUUUUUGCCUGUUCUAGGGCCGCAUAUGGAGGUUCCCAAGCUAGGGAUCUAAUUGGAGCUGUAGCCACCAGCCUAUAUACCACAGCCACAGGAAUGCAGGAUCUGAGCCGUGUCUGCGAACUACACCACAGCUCACGGCAAUGCCAGAUCCUUAACCCACUGAGCAAGGCCAGGGAUCGAACCCUCAACCUCAUGGUUCCUAGUCGGAUUCAUUAACCACUGAGCCACGAUGGGAACUCCUCAUUAGUUCUUUUUAUUCAUUUUGUUUUCAUAAAGUCAGUUCUUCUAUAUCUUUUUUUUUUAUUUUUAAGCUAUGUAUCAAGAUAGUAUGAGGAUAAGUGAUCAUUUUAACAUAAGAUGUUCAUUAAAAGUAAGACCACUUCUAUUCAAUAGAGCAAUGGCAAAUGUAUGGAUAGAGGAUACAAAUAAUUUCACAGUAUUUAAUUAUCUGCAGAAGAGGAAUGAAACAUUCCAGUGUUUAAUUUUCUGAGGUUAUGAAUCAUAGCGUAUAUUUCAUAGAAGUGUAAAAUCUUAUGUUAUUGAUACUCUGAGUUGUCUUAAAGAUUCUCUGUGUGUUGUUUUUUACCUUUGCUUAUCUGUGUUCUUCUCUCCUGUCUAUUGCUUCUCUAUCCACUGCCUCUUCUACGCUUUCUUCACAGAACCAUUCCAGCCAUGGCCCACCAGACCUCUGAUUCUCCUUGUCUCAGCUUACUACUUGAUCUACCCCAUAAGCAUUCAGAUCUCUUUGCCUCCUGAAGAUUCUCCCAAAGCAAAGAUUAUCUGCUUGUGACAUACAUUCUCGGAUCCCUGUAUCUCUCUGUGUAUAAUUAUGUCUGACAGGAAAAUCAUUGACCCUUUCAAGGAGCUGAUCUGUCCAGUGUAACAACAGUGCCAUAACAUAUCCCAUAUUUUUUACAGAGAUAAAUGUCCCUGUAAAAAGUGGAAUGUGAACUUGUCUAAAGGAAAACUGUGAUGGAGUUGUGGGGAGAGUAAUGCCUCCUAAAGAAAUAAUUGUUGAAGUUUUUAAUGUCCUUUAAGGGAAAGAGAUGCAAUUCUCUUAAAAGGAAUAAUCUCAUGUUUCUAUUCUGUCAGAAUGUGUUUACAUCCUCACUUUCCAUGGCUACUAUCAUAACUUAAACCUGAUUAAAGUCCUACUAAGAUUUUUUUCAAUGACUAGAUUUGAAAUUAGACCCCAUGUUUCAUCCAAAGUUAAAAUAAGUCACCCAAGAUGGAAUCCAUCAAAUGUUAAGCAACACAUCAUAGGUUUCAUUUUUGUUUUGUGUGUGUGUGUGUGUGUUUUCUUACAUUUUAACUGUAAUACAAACAUGCUUCCCAUAGUGUAUUAUAUUCAGAUUGCUGGGCUGAAUUUUAUCAUUUUUAAGGUAUUUAUGUAUAGUCCAGGCUUAGUAUUAAUUUGUGACAUUAUUACCAUGGAAUUUACAUUUUUACUCUUUUCUGGUAGGAGGUGAUAAGACAUCAAAAGGUUACACAGUAUCUAUAUAGAGAGGUACUAGAUAUAAUUUUGUCUUUUGAGGAAUAUCUAUGUCACAUAGGAAUUAAGAGUGAUGGUAGCAGCACCUAACAUAAUGCUUGCUUUAUUUUACAUAUGCUGACUAAUUUUACCCUUACCAUAGAACUUUGUUAGUGAGCUGCUUUUAUUAGCUUCAUUUUUUGUGAGGUAACUGAGGUACAGAGAAGUUAAGUGCCUUUUCCAAUGUUCCAGGUAGGAAAUGAGGGAGCCAGGGUGAAUGAAUAUUUCUAUAAUGAAUGUUUUCCAGGAUCCAAAACAAAAUAAUGUGAUUCUAAUAUGUGGAUUAUUCUCUUUUUUUUUUUUUUGGACUUUUUGCUAGAAGAUAUGAUAAAUAGCACAGAAAGACUAAAUAAGGUAUGAGCCUAUGUUAAACCAAUUUAACAACAACGAAAGAGGUAUUUAGAAACUAGAAUGAAUUUAUAAAGUGGUACCUGACAAAAAUCAUGUUGAUAAGACCUACUUGACAAUUAGAACUAUAAAUAACCCUUGAUUAGAUUAGUUUAUAUGUAUUUUCUUGUGCAUGCAAACAAAGAAUGGUGCUCUCUAGAGUUCUGAGUACAUUUAAGUAUAUAAUUUUAACCAUGGCAUUAAUGAGUAACUCAGGCAUGAAUUAAUCCUGCUUAAAUGAUGUACCUCAAAUUUAUAAUUUACAUAACUGGUACAAUGAAAUGUUUAUUACCAACCUAUGAUACAUAAAAGCAACCUGUAUUUUUGAAAAAAACACCAUCUUAUUUCAUCCUUGCCCAGAUUAUUUCUCUUCAUAUUAUUGUCAAAGACACUGAUGACCUUAUAACUGGUUAUUUUAUUUUAUUUUAUUUUAUUUUUUGUCUUUUGUUGUUGUUGUUGUUGCUAUUUCUUGGGCUGCUCCCGCGGCAUAUGGAGGUUCCCAGGCUAGGGGUUGAAUCGGAGCUGUAGCCACCGGCCUAUGCCAGAGCCACAGCAACGCGGGAUCCGAGCCGCGUCUGCAACCUACACCACAGCUCACGGCAACGCCGGAUCCUUAACCCACUGAGCAAGUGCAGGGACCGAACCCGCAACCUCAUGGUUCCUAGUCGGAUUCGUUAACCACUGCGCCACGACGGGAACUCCAUAACUGGUUAUUUUAAUCUCACAUUCAGUUUAUGAAACUCAGAGGCAAAUUGUAAUCCUCAGCUGACUAAGACUACCUGAUAGCUUACACAGUUUAUGUUUUUGUAUAAUUCAUGAUUAUUGAAGUAUUAUUUAUAUAUAGUCAAAUGGAUACUUUUUAGCUAUCUAUUUCUAUUAUUUUUGAUGAAUGUAUAAAGUUGUGCAAAAACUACUUCAAUAUCAAAAUAUUUUCAUCUUGCAAUUCUCUGGUGUCUCAUCAGGUUAAGGAUCCGGUGUUGUCACUACUGUAGCUCAGGUUGCUGAUGAGGCACAGGUUGAUCCCUGGCCAGGAACUUCCAUGUGCGGUGGGCAUG
This 3001-nucleotide long non-coding RNA is filed under the name Sus scrofa (pig). RNAcentral's name for it is "lncRNA (ENSSSCG00000048126.2)". The record is from RNAcentral. Lineage: Eukaryota; Metazoa; Chordata; Mammalia; Artiodactyla; Suidae.